AUUGAACGCUGGCGGCAGGCCUAACACAUGCAAGUCGAGCGAGCGGCGGACGGGUGAGUAAUGUAUGGGGACUGCCCGAUAGAGGGGGAUAACUACUGGAAAAGGUGGCUAAUACCGCAUACUAGUGGGUAACCCAUAUGGGAUUAGGUAGUAGGUGGGGUAAAGGCUCACCUAGGCGACGAUCUCUAGCUGGUCUGAGAGGAUGACCAGCCAAACUGGGACUGAGACACGGCCCAGACUCCUACGGAGGCAGCAGUGGGGAAUAUUGCACAAUGGGCGAAAGCCUGAUGCAGCCAUGCCGCGUGUAUGAAGAAGGCCUUAGGGUUUUAAAGUACUUUCAGUGGGGAGGCGUUACCCGCAGAAGAAGCACCGGCUAACGCCGUGCCAGCAGCCGCGGUAAUUC
RNAcentral lists this ribosomal RNA (403 nucleotides) under uncultured bacterium. RNAcentral describes it as "partial 16S ribosomal RNA". It matches the Rfam family "Bacterial small subunit ribosomal RNA", at positions 30 to 526 of the family's 1533-position model. The record is from RNAcentral.